CCUACGGGUGGCAGCAGUGGGGAAUAUUGGACAAUGGGGGAAACCCUGAUCCAGCGACGCCGCGUGAGUGAAGAAGUAUUUCGGUACGUAAAGCUCUAUCAGCAGGAAAGAAAAUGACGGUACCUGCCUACGAAGCCCCGGCUACCUCCGUGCCAGCAGCCGCGGUAAUACGUAGGGGGCAAGCGUUCUCCGGAUUUACUGGGUGUAACGGGAGCGUAGACGGCAGCGCAAGUCUGGAGUGAAAUGCCGGGGCCCAACCCCGGAACUGCUCUGGAAACUGUGAAGCUGGAGUGCAGGAGAGGUAAGCGGAAUUCCUGGUGUAGCGGUGAAAUGCGUAGAUAUCAGGAGGAACUCCGAUUGCGAAGGCAGUUCACUGGACUGCAACUGACACUGAGGCUCGAAAGUGUGGGUAUCAAACAGGAUUAGAUACCCCAGUAGUC
Molecule: ribosomal RNA, 440 nt
Filed under: uncultured bacterium
Lineage: Bacteria
Description: partial 16S ribosomal RNA
Rfam family: Bacterial small subunit ribosomal RNA
Source: RNAcentral